UACGGGGGGGGCAAGCGUUGUUCGGAAUUACUGGGCGUAAAGGGUUCGUAGGUGGCUUGUUAAGUCAGACGUGAAAUCCCUCGGCUCAACCGGGGAACUGCGUCUGAGACUGAUGAGCUCGAGUGCAGGAGAGGAACGCGGAAUUCCGGGUGUAGCGGUGGAAUGCGUAGAGAUCCGGAGGAAGACCGGUGGCGAAGGCGGUCUGCUGGGCAGUUUCUGACACUGAUGCGCGACAGCGUGGGGAGCAAACAGG
RNAcentral lists this ribosomal RNA (253 nucleotides) under uncultured bacterium. RNAcentral describes it as "partial 16S ribosomal RNA". It matches the Rfam family "Bacterial small subunit ribosomal RNA", at positions 524 to 776 of the family's 1533-position model. The record is from RNAcentral.